AGGGGCAUGGUGCAACGGUUAGCACACCGGCCUUUGAAGCCGUUGAUCUUGGUUCGAAUCCAGGUGCCCCUG
RNAcentral lists this transfer RNA (72 nucleotides) under Chloroflexota bacterium. Its description in RNAcentral is "Chloroflexi bacterium tRNA-Gln". It matches the Rfam family "tRNA". Rfam says of the family: Transfer RNA (tRNA) molecules are approximately 80 nucleotides in length. Their secondary structure includes four short double-helical elements and three loops (D, anti-codon, and T loops). Lineage: Bacteria; Bacillati; Chloroflexota. RNAcentral also lists the same sequence under 3 other names. The record is from RNAcentral.